Molecule: ribosomal RNA, 1162 nt
Filed under: Klebsiella quasipneumoniae subsp. similipneumoniae
Lineage: Bacteria; Pseudomonadati; Pseudomonadota; Gammaproteobacteria; Enterobacterales; Enterobacteriaceae
Description: partial 23S ribosomal RNA
Rfam family: Bacterial large subunit ribosomal RNA
Source: RNAcentral
UAUAAUGGGUCAGCGACUUAUAUUCUGUAGCAAGGUUAACCGUAUAGGGGAGCCGCAGGGAAACCGAGUCUUAACUGGGCGUUAAGUUGCAGGGUAUAGACCCGAAACCCGGUGAUCUAGCCAUGGGCAGGUUGAAGGUUGGGUAACACUAACUGGAGGACCGAACCGACUAAUGUUGAAAAAUUAGCGGAUGACUUGUGGCUGGGGGUGAAAGGCCAAUCAAACCGGGAGAUAGCUGGUUCUCCCCGAAAGCUAUUUAGGUAGCGCCUCGUGAACUCAUCUUCGGGGGUAGAGCACUGUUUCGGCUAGGGGGUCAUCCCGACUUACCAACCCGAUGCAAACUACGAAUACCGAAGAAUGUUAUCACGGGAGACACACGGCGGGUGCUAACGUCCGUCGUGAAGAGGGAAACAACCCAGACCGCCAGCUAAGGUCCCAAAGUCAUGGUUAAGUGGGAAACGAUGUGGGAAGGCACAGACAGCCAGGAUGUUGGCUUAGAAGCAGCCAUCAUUUAAAGAAAGCGUAAUAGCUCACUGGUCGAGUCGGCCUGCGCGGAAGAUGUAACGGGGCUAAACCAUGCACCGAAGCUGCGGCAGCGACACGAUGUGUUGUUGGGUAGGGGAGCGUUCUGUAAGCCUGCGAAGGUGGCCUGUGAGGGUUGCUGGAGGUAUCAGAAGUGCGAAUGCUGACAUAAGUAACGAUAAAGCGGGUGAAAAGCCCGCUCGCCGGAAGACCAAGGGUUCCUGUCCAACGUUAAUCGGGGCAGGGUGAGUCGACCCCUAAGGCGAGGCCGAAAGGCGUAGUCGAUGGGAAACAGGUUAAUAUUCCUGUACUUGGUGUUACUGCGAAGGGGGGACGGAGAAGGCUAUGUUAGCCGGGCGACGGUUGUCCCGGUUUAAGCAUGUAGGCUGGUUAUCCAGGCAAAUCCGGAUAAUCAAGGCUGAGGUGUGAUGACGAGGCACUACGGUGCUGAAGUAACAAAUGCCCUGCUUCCAGGAAAAGCCUCUAAGCAUCAGGUAACAUCAAAUCGUACCCCAAACCGACACAGGUGGUCAGGUAGAGAAUACCAAGGCGCUUGAGAGAACUCGGGUGAAGGAACUAGGCAAAAUGGUGCCGUAACUUCGGGAGAAGGCACGCUGGUGUGUAGGUGAAGUCCCUGCGG